Molecule: ribosomal RNA, 1010 nt
Filed under: Oceanobacillus profundus
Lineage: Bacteria; Bacillati; Bacillota; Bacilli; Caryophanales; Bacillaceae
Description: bacterial SSU rRNA
Rfam family: Bacterial small subunit ribosomal RNA
Source: RNAcentral
UGCAAGUCGAGCGCAGGAAUAAACAGAACCCUUCGGGGUGAUGUUUAUGGAAUGAGCGGCGGACGGGUGAGUAACACGUGGGCAACCUGCCUGUAAGAUCGGGAUAACUCGCGGAAACGUGAGCUAAUACCGGAUAACACUUUUCAUCUCAUGGUGAGAAGAUAAAAGACGGUUUCGGCUGUCACUUACAGAUGGGCCCGCGGCGCAUUAGCUAGUUGGUGAGGUAACGGCUCACCAAGGCGACGAUGCGUAGCCGACCUGAGAGGGUGAUCGGCCACACUGGGACUGAGACACGGCCCAGACUCCUACGGGAGGCAGCAGUAGGGAAUCUUCCGCAAUGGACGAAAGUCUGACGGAGCAACGCCGCGUGAGUGAUGAAGGUUUUCGGAUCGUAAAACUCUGUUGUUAGGGAAGAACAAGUUGGGUAGUAACUGACCCAACCUUGACGGUACCUAACCAGAAAGCCACGGCUAACUACGUGCCAGCAGCCGCGGUAAUACGUAGGUGGCAAGCGUUGUCCGGAAUUAUUGGGCGUAAAGCGCUCGCAGGCGGUCUUUUAAGUCUGAUGUGAAAGCCCACGGCUUAACCGUGGAGGGUCAUUGGAAACUGGAGGACUUGAGUACAGAAGAGGAGAGUGGAAUUCCACGUGUAGCGGUGAAAUGCGUAGAGAUGUGGAGGAACACCAGUGGCGAAGGCGACUCUCUGGUCUGUAACUGACGCUGAGGAGCGAAAGCGUGGGUAGCGAACAGGAUUAGAUACCCUGGUAGUCCACGCCGUAAACGAUGAGUGCUAGGUGUUAGGGGGUUUCCGCCCCUUAGUGCUGAAGUUAACGCAUUAAGCACUCCGCCUGGGGAGUACGGCCGCAAGGCUGAAACUCAAAAGAAUUGACGGGGGCCCGCACAAGCGGUGGAGCAUGUGGUUUAAUUCGAAGCAACGCGAAGAACCUUACCAGGUCUUGACAUCCUCUGAUACCUCUAGAGAUAGAGUUUCCCUUCGGGGACAGAGUGACA